Molecule: ribosomal RNA, 738 nt
Filed under: Enterobacter cloacae
Lineage: Bacteria; Pseudomonadati; Pseudomonadota; Gammaproteobacteria; Enterobacterales; Enterobacteriaceae
Description: bacterial SSU rRNA
Rfam family: Bacterial small subunit ribosomal RNA
Source: RNAcentral
AUGUGCCCAGAUGGGAUUAGCUUGUUGGUGAGGUAAAGGCUCACCAAGGCGACGAUCCCUAGCUGGUCUGAGAGGAUGACCAGCCACACUGGAACUGAGACACGGUCCAGACUCCUACGGGAGGCAGCAGUGGGGAAUAUUGCACAAUGGGCGCAAGCCUGAUGCAGCCAUGCCGCGUGUGUGAAGAAGGCCUUCGGGUUGUAAAGCACUUUCAGCGGGGAGGAAGGCGGUGAGUUUAAUAAGCUCACCGAUUGACGUUACCCGCAGAAGAAGCACCGGCUAACUCCGUGCCAGCAGCCGCGGUAAUACGGAGGGUGCAAGCGUUAAUCGGAAUUACUGGGCGUAAAGCGCACGCAGGCGGUCUGUCAAGUCGGAUGUGAAAUCCCCGGGCUCAACCUGGGAACUGCAUUCGAAACUGGCAGGCUAGAGUCUUGUAGAGGGGGGUAGAAUUCCAGGUGUAGCGGUGAAAUGCGUAGAGAUCUGGAGGAAUACCGGUGGCGAAGGCGGCCCCCUGGACAAACACUGACGCUCAGGUGCGAAAGCGGGGGGAGCAAACAGGGUUAGAUACCCUGGUAGUCCACACCGUAAACGAUGUCGACUUGUAAGGUGUGCCCUUGAGGCAUGGCUUCCCGAUCUAACACGUUAAAUCCACCGCCUGAGGAGUACUGCCGCAAAGUUAAAACUCGAAUAAAUUCACGCGUGCCCGCACAACCGGGGGAGGUGGUGUUUAAUUCAAUA